This 456-nucleotide ribosomal RNA is filed under the name Aegyptianella pullorum. RNAcentral describes it as "bacterial SSU rRNA". It matches the Rfam family "Bacterial small subunit ribosomal RNA", at positions 151 to 642 of the family's 1533-position model. Lineage: Bacteria; Pseudomonadati; Pseudomonadota; Alphaproteobacteria; Rickettsiales; Anaplasmataceae. The record is from RNAcentral.
UAGAAUGGUGGGUAAUACUGUAUAAUCCCCGCGGGGGAAAGAUUUAUCGCUAUUGGAUGAGCCUAUGUUAGAUUAGCUAGUUGGUGGGGUAAUGGCCUACCAAGGCUGUGAUCUAUAGCUGGUCUGAGAGGAUGAUCAGCCACACUGGAACUGAGAUACGGUCCAGACUCCUAUGGGAGGCAGCAGUGGGGAAUAUUGGACAAUGGGCGCAAGCCUGAUCCAGCUAUGCCGCGUGAGUGAGGAAGGCCUUAGGGUUGUAAAACUCUUUCAGUAGGGAAGAUAAUGACGGUACCUACAGAAGAAGUCCCGGCAAACUCCGUGCCAGCAGCCGCGGUAAUACGGAGGGGGCAAGCGUUGUUCGGAAUUAUUGGGCGUAAAGGGCAUGUAGGCGGUUUGGUAAGUUAAAAGUGAAAUGCCAGGGCUCAACCUUGGAGCUGCUUUUAAUACUGCCAGACA